This 253-nucleotide ribosomal RNA is filed under the name uncultured bacterium. Its description in RNAcentral is "partial 16S ribosomal RNA". It matches the Rfam family "Bacterial small subunit ribosomal RNA", at positions 524 to 776 of the family's 1533-position model. The record is from RNAcentral.
UACGUAGGGCGCGAGCGUUGUCCGGAUUUAUUGGGCGUAAAGAGCUCGUAGGCGGCUUGUCGCGUCGGCUGUGAAAACCCGCGGCUCAACUGUGGGCGGGCAGCUGAUACGGGCAGGCUGGAGUUCGGUAGGGGAGACUGGAAUUCCACGUGUAGCGGUGAAAUGCGUAGAGAUGUGGAGGAACACCAGUGGCGAAGGCGACUCUUUGGCCUGUAACUGACGCUGAGGCGCGAAAGCGUGGGGAGCAAACAGG